AUUAACGCUGAGAUACGAUGUCGAGCUACUACGGUAGUGAAGUCAUUGAUGCCAUGCUUCCAGGAAAAGCCUCUAAGCUUCAGAUUGUAAGGAAUCGUACCCCAAACCGACACAGGUGGUCGGGUAGAGAAUACCAAGGCGCUUGAGAGAACUCGGGUGAAGGAACUAGGCAAAAUGGUACCGUAACUUCGGGAGAAGGUACGCUCUUAUCAGUGAAGUCCCUUGCGGAUGGAGCAGACGAGAGUCGCAGAUACCAGGUGGCUGCAACUGUUUAUUAAAAACACAGCACUGUGCAAAAUCGUAAGAUGACGUAUACGGUGUGACGCCUGCCCGGUGCCGGAAGGUUAAUUGAUGGGGUUAGACUUCGGUCGAAGCUCUUGAUCGAAGCCCCGGUAAACGGCGGCCGUAACUAUAACGGUCCUAAGGUAGCGAAAUUCCUUGUCGGGUAAGUUCCGACCUGCACGAAUGGCGUAAUGAUGGCCACGCUGUCUCCACCCGAGACUCAGUGAAAUUGAAAUCGCUGUGAAGAUGCAGUGUACCCGCGGCUAGACGGAAAGACCCCGUGAACCUUUACUACAGCUUGGCACUGAACAUUGAACCUACAUGUGUAGGAUAGGUGGGAGACUUUGAAACCGCGUCGCUAGAUGUGGUGGAGUCGUCCUUGAAAUACCACCCUUGUAGUUUUGAUGUUCUAACGUUGGUCCCUGAAUCGGGAUUACGGACAGUGCCUGGUGGGUAGUUUGACUGGGGCGGUCUCCUCCCAAAGAGUAACGGAGGAGCACGAAGGUGGGCUAAACACGGUUGGACAUCGUGUGGUUAGUGCAAUGGCAUAAGCCCGCUUGACUGCGAGAAUGACAAUUCGAGCAGGUGCGAAAGCAGGUCAUAGUGAUCCGGUGGUUCUGAAUGGAAGGGCCAUCGCUCAACGGAUAAAAGGUACUCCGGGGAUAACAGGCUGAUACCGCCCAAGAGUUCAUAUCGACGGCGGUGUUUGGCACCUCGAUGUCGGCUCAUCACAUCCUGGGGCUGAAGUCGGUCCCAAGGGUAUGGCUGUUCGCCAUUUAAAGUGGUACGCGAGCUGGGUUUAGAACGUCGUGAGACAGUUCGGUCCCUAUCUGCCGUGGGCGUUGGAAAAUUGAAAGGGGCUGCUCCUAGUACGAGAGGACCGGAGUGGACGAACCUCUGGUGUUCGGGUUGUCAUGCCAAUGGCAUUGCCCGGUAGCUAAGUUCGGAAUCGAUAACCGCUGAAAGCAUCUAAGCGGGAAGCGAGCCUUGAGAUGAGUUUUCCCUG
RNAcentral lists this ribosomal RNA (1288 nucleotides) under Vibrio crassostreae 9ZC13. Its description in RNAcentral is "bacterial LSU rRNA". It matches the Rfam family "Bacterial large subunit ribosomal RNA", at positions 1549 to 2817 of the family's 2925-position model. Lineage: Bacteria; Pseudomonadati; Pseudomonadota; Gammaproteobacteria; Vibrionales; Vibrionaceae. The record is from RNAcentral.